Halichondria panicea is the source of this 572-nucleotide long non-coding RNA. RefSeq lists it as uncharacterized. The record is from RefSeq and is a predicted model, not a curated record. NCBI's taxonomy places the organism in Eukaryota, Metazoa, Porifera, Demospongiae, Suberitida, Halichondriidae. The transcript is spliced from 3 exons.
GAAUUAAAGCGCAUCAAGAUUUGUAUUUUGCUACUUCAGAUCAUGAGCAGCCCAUCUAAAGACCCAGGAUCAUCUGAUCACUGCUUUAAUAUUUUGAUGAGCAAGGGAUAUGACCAUCAAGACGCAGAAAUGAUGAGUAUGUAUUUAAUGGAAACAAAGCCGAGGUCCCCUUCAUUGUUGCCCUCUCCUCUCCCUGAAUCCUUAGCAGGCACUAAGUUGAAUAUUACAGAUCAUACAUUCACUGAUCAGACUCCUCCACAAAGCAUUCAGAAGGAAUGCAAGGCCAAAAGAAAAUUAAACUUCGAUGAUCAAGUGUCACCUUGUAGAGGACAGCGGUCUAUAAAGUCAAAGCAAAGAAGACGACAACGAUACCGAAAUAAAAAGAAGGCAAUAGUGGCAGCACAGAAGCGUGAUUCUCUUAACCUUUUUGAAAACAACUUAUGUAAACGAUGGAAAAAAAGGGAAGAAUUUAGCCAGCAAAUUGAAGGACUAGAAACAGCAGAAAAAGGAAUGAACAUGUUCUUGCAAAACAAACUUAUGCAGGAAAGUAAACGGAUUGCUGAAGAAAAGGA